Molecule: transfer RNA, 69 nt
Filed under: Lepidocephalichthys sp. CBM-ZF-14149
Lineage: Eukaryota; Metazoa; Chordata; Actinopteri; Cypriniformes; Cobitidae
Description: tRNA-Tyr
Rfam family: tRNA
About the family: Transfer RNA (tRNA) molecules are approximately 80 nucleotides in length. Their secondary structure includes four short double-helical elements and three loops (D, anti-codon, and T loops). Further hydrogen bonds mediate the characteristic L-shaped molecular structure. tRNAs have two regions of fundamental functional importance: the anti-codon, which is responsible for specific mRNA codon recognition, and the 3' end, to which the tRNAs corresponding amino acid is attached (by aminoacyl-tRNA synthetases). tRNAs cope with the degeneracy of the genetic code in two manners: having more than one tRNA (with a specific anti-codon) for a particular amino acid; and 'wobble' base-pairing, i.e. permitting non-standard base-pairing at the 3rd anti-codon position.
Source: RNAcentral
GGUAGGGUGGCCGAAGACAGGCAGUGGGUUGUAGCCCCGAAGAUAGAGGUUUAAGUCCUCUCCCUAUCA